CAUUUAAUAAAGUACUUCAAGAAAGGGUGACCUCACAAAAGGACUGGCUGGUAACAAGUGGGAGAGGGAGUAUGGAGAGCAUGCUACAUGCAGGGUUGGAAAAUAGAACUGGCCAUUAACAUAAUCUUGAAGGAAAAGAGAAAAUGAAGCUUGUAGCCAAUGCCAUUUUUCAAAAGGAUUGACUUGAUGAAGACAGCUUCUAGGAUAUCCUUUCAUUUGUAUAAAAUGGUGCCUGGAAAAGAUAAAGGACUGUCUGAGACCUCCCCAUAAUGUGACCUCACACUAGGGAAGAGGAAGACUUUGCAAUUUGGUGUCAG
This 317-nucleotide long non-coding RNA is filed under the name Vulpes vulpes (red fox). Its description in RNAcentral is "lncRNA (ENSVVUG00000017739.1)". The record is from RNAcentral. Lineage: Eukaryota; Metazoa; Chordata; Mammalia; Carnivora; Canidae.